UAUGAAGUCUAUCAUUUUCUAUCUUUUAUUUUAAAAUAAAGGAAUUGUAAUUUUUCUGAAAAGAAGAGAAAAUUAUUUUAAUGCAAACCCACUUUAAGUCAAGUGAGCACAAGCGAUCCUUGAACCUUACAGUCGAACUCAAUCCAACCUUAUGGUAAAGCCAUAUGUGUCUGUAUAAGACAAUCUCCAAAGGUACACCAAAUUUGAAGUAAAAUUUGGUGCAAUAAUUUACACAAAGUUUGGUGUUAAAGAGUAUUUCCAAUGGUUGGUGCUCUAAGAAAGCCCACGGACCCUUGCCAAGCCUGGAUGACACACUAUUCCCAAUCAUAAACUAUAAUGUACCCAAAUCAUGAAAAUUUUUGAAGCCACAAAUUUUGCUUUCACUAUUCAUCGGUAUAUCUUGUGAUCUAUAUGAAAGACAUACAUUAACCUCAAAU
This 437-nucleotide long non-coding RNA is filed under the name Olea europaea subsp. europaea. Lineage: Eukaryota; Viridiplantae; Streptophyta; Magnoliopsida; Lamiales; Oleaceae. The record is from RNAcentral.